Molecule: microRNA precursor, 183 nt
Filed under: Oryza brachyantha (malo sina)
Lineage: Eukaryota; Viridiplantae; Streptophyta; Magnoliopsida; Poales; Poaceae
Description: MIR812 microRNA precursor family
Rfam family: MIR812 microRNA precursor family
Source: Rfam by way of RNAcentral
AAUAAACGAAUUUCUAAGUUUUUGGAUAGGAUUUUUGACUCUUCGUCUUAUUUGAAAUUUUUUUAUGAUUAAUAUUUUUAUUGUUAAACAUAAAUAGUAUUUUACAUGUGACUAAUUUUUUUAUUUUUUAAUAAUUUUUUCAAAUAAGACGGAUGAUCAAACGCUUCGUACACAAAACUCAGA